This 546-nucleotide ribosomal RNA is filed under the name Phyllodactylus interandinus. RNAcentral's name for it is "partial 16S ribosomal RNA". It matches the Rfam family "Bacterial large subunit ribosomal RNA", at positions 1810 to 2603 of the family's 2925-position model. Lineage: Eukaryota; Metazoa; Chordata; Lepidosauria; Squamata; Phyllodactylidae. The record is from RNAcentral.
AAAACAUCGCCUUUAGCCACACAAGUAUUAAAGGUACCGCCUGCCCAGUGAAACCCACCCCUUAAACGGCCGCGGUACUCUAACCGUGCAAAGGUAGCGUAAUCACUUGCCCCCCAAAUAGAGGCCAGUAUGAACGGCUAAAUGAGGGCCUAACUGUCUCCUAUGACAAGCCAAUGAAACUGAUCUCUCAGUACAAAAGCUGAAAUACACCCAUAAGACGAGAAGACCCCGUGGAGCUUCUAAACACCACACUAAUACCCACCCUACCUUAUAGUGUUUAACUUUUAGUUGGGGCGACUACGGAGACAACACAAACCUCCAUGAACCAGGAUUCCCUCCUCCGACGGCAGACAAGCCUAAGAUAACAAUAGCCAUUGACCCAGCACUGCUGAGCAACGAACCAAGUUACCCCAGGGAUAACAGCGCAAUCCUCCCCAAGAGUCCAUAUCGCCAGGAGGGUUUACGACCUCGAUGUUGGAUCAGAACACCCCGGCGGUGCAGCCGCUACCAACGGUUCGUUUGUUCAACGAUUAAUGUUCUACGUGA